Molecule: long non-coding RNA, 1184 nt
Organism: Bos taurus (domestic cattle)
Lineage: Eukaryota; Metazoa; Chordata; Mammalia; Artiodactyla; Bovidae
Source: Ensembl
GGAGAAAGUAUUUAUUUAUUUUUCGAAGGCGGCCUGAGAGACUCUGGGGCAGGCGCAGUGUGAGGCCACGGAGGCGGGAGGUCAGCCUGCUGUGAACAGGGAUUAAGCAGACACGGCAGAAUGAGGGGGUUUCCGGAGCAGAGGCUGGAGGCAGGGCCUGGUCGGGUGUCUCAAAGUCAGUCCCCCUGGAGAGGGCAAGGCUGGACUGAGCACUCGAGCCACGUCUGCUAGGGGCACUCGUGCCCUGCGCUCUCCCCCACGCCUGCUAUGUCCACAGAAGGCGCCGGCCCCUGGGAGGCCAUUAGACUGAUCUCCUGACUCCAGGCAGUGUGUCCCCAGCCCCUCCGGAGGAAAGCCUGGGGACUCGUCUCCUUCUGUGCCUAGCUUCAGGAGGAAGGCGGGUUGUUCUAAUGCUCCAUUAGCUGGAGCUGGGACCAUCGCAGAAAGCUACUUCUGUUUUGUAAUCAAAGUACAACGAGCCUAGCCUCCCCCAUCUCUGCAGUUGAACUAGUUGUCAACACCUUUCCAGUCAAUAAUGCUGCCUUUAUACCUCCCAGUCCUAACCUGCUUAGGAGCCCCAGUGGAACUCGAGGGCAACAAUUCUCUUAGAGGUCCCGUGGUCCCGUGGUUUUCGGUCUUGGGUUUGUGGGAGGCUGAGUGGAUGGGACCCCAGACCCUCCCCCACUCCAACUAGAGCAGUUUUGCUUUUAUGUGCUUUAUACAUCGAUAUUCCAGCUCAGAUUUUUCGCCAAAAUACUGAAGAGUCCAUUACUGUAAAGAACCAAAAGCAUUUAAAUAUCCUUGUCCUUGGCCACUCUGUGCAGGGAAAUAACUCAAGGCUCAGACAGAAGAGACUGUGGCCCAGGGUCACAGAAAGCUGGAAAUUGACUGCAAGUCACCUGCUUCCUGGCCCAGAGCUGUCCCUCCACCCUCUGCUGGAGUAACUAGUGUGACUUUGGGACAACCAGAGAGAGAUGGAAAACAGCCCUUUAGGAUGUGAAGAGGCAGGAAGGAGUGUGUGGAGUUAGCCCUGCUAGAGGCUGCCUGCCGGGUGGUGGCAAAUUGUCCUGGUCCACGCCAGGGAAAACCUGAGUCUCUGGAGACGCCCGGCCAGACUCCACCAGGCAGGCAUUCCAUGAUCCCUGAUGCCCCACACCCCUAAUGGUGAGAGCUCACCCCUCUUC